This 2902-nucleotide ribosomal RNA is filed under the name Klebsiella pneumoniae. RNAcentral describes it as "23S ribosomal RNA". It matches the Rfam family "Bacterial large subunit ribosomal RNA". Lineage: Bacteria; Pseudomonadati; Pseudomonadota; Gammaproteobacteria; Enterobacterales; Enterobacteriaceae. The record is from RNAcentral. RNAcentral also lists the same sequence under 1 other name.
GGUUAAGCGACUAAGCGUACACGGUGGAUGCCCUGGCAGUCAGAGGCGAUGAAGGACGUGCUAAUCUGCGAAAAGCGUCGGUAAGGUGAUAUGAACCGUUAUAACCGGCGAUGUCCGAAUGGGGAAACCCAGUGUGAUUCGUCACACUAUCGUUAACUGAAUACAUAGGUUAACGAGGCGAACCGGGGGAACUGAAACAUCUAAGUACCCCGAGGAAAAGAAAUCAACCGAGAUUCCCCCAGUAGCGGCGAGCGAACGGGGAGCAGCCCAGAGUCUGAAUCAGCUUGUGUGUUAGUGGAACGGUCUGGAAAGUCCGACGGUACAGGGUGAUAGUCCCGUACACCAAAAUGCACAGGCUGUGAACUCGAAGAGUAGGGCGGGACACGUGGUAUCCUGUCUGAAUAUGGGGGGACCAUCCUCCAAGGCUAAAUACUCCUGACUGACCGAUAGUGAACCAGUACCGUGAGGGAAAGGCGAAAAGAACCCCGGCGAGGGGAGUGAAAAAGAACCUGAAACCGUGUACGUACAAGCAGUGGGAGCACCUUCGGGUGUGACUGCGUACCUUUUGUAUAAUGGGUCAGCGACUUAUAUUCUGUAGCAAGGUUAACCGUAUAGGGGAGCCGCAGGGAAACCGAGUCUUAACUGGGCGUUAAGUUGCAGGGUAUAGACCCGAAACCCGGUGAUCUAGCCAUGGGCAGGUUGAAGGUUGGGUAACACUAACUGGAGGACCGAACCGACUAAUGUUGAAAAAUUAGCGGAUGACUUGUGGCUGGGGGUGAAAGGCCAAUCAAACCGGGAGAUAGCUGGUUCUCCCCGAAAGCUAUUUAGGUAGCGCCUCGUGAAUUCAUCUUCGGGGGUAGAGCACUGUUUCGGCUAGGGGGUCAUCCCGACUUACCAACCCGAUGCAAACUACGAAUACCGAAGAAUGUUAUCACGGGAGACACACGGCGGGUGCUAACGUCCGUCGUGAAGAGGGAAACAACCCAGACCGCCAGCUAAGGUCCCAAAGUCAUGGUUAAGUGGGAAACGAUGUGGGAAGGCACAGACAGCCAGGAUGUUGGCUUAGAAGCAGCCAUCAUUUAAAGAAAGCGUAAUAGCUCACUGGUCGAGUCGGCCUGCGCGGAAGAUGUAACGGGGCUAAACCAUGCACCGAAGCUGCGGCAGCGACACUAUGUGUUGUUGGGUAGGGGAGCGUUCUGUAAGCCUGCGAAGGUGUGCUGUGAGGCAUGCUGGAGGUAUCAGAAGUGCGAAUGCUGACAUAAGUAACGAUAAAGCGGGUGAAAAGCCCGCUCGCCGGAAGACCAAGGGUUCCUGUCCAACGUUAAUCGGGGCAGGGUGAGUCGACCCCUAAGGCGAGGCCGAAAGGCGUAGUCGAUGGGAAACAGGUUAAUAUUCCUGUACUUGGUGUUACUGCGAAGGGGGGACGGAGAAGGCUAUGUUAGCCGGGCGACGGUUGUCCCGGUUUAAGCAUGUAGGCUGGUUAUCCAGGCAAAUCCGGAUAAUCAAGGCUGAGGUGUGAUGACGAGGCACUACGGUGCUGAAGUAACAAAUGCCCUGCUUCCAGGAAAAGCCUCUAAGCAUCAGGUAACAUCAAAUCGUACCCCAAACCGACACAGGUGGUCAGGUAGAGAAUACCAAGGCGCUUGAGAGAACUCGGGUGAAGGAACUAGGCAAAAUGGUGCCGUAACUUCGGGAGAAGGCACGCUGGUGUGUAGGUGAAGUCCCUGCGGAUGGAGCUGAGACCAGUCGAAGAUACCAGCUGGCUGCAACUGUUUAUUAAAAACACAGCACUGUGCAAACACGAAAGUGGACGUAUACGGUGUGACGCCUGCCCGGUGCCGGAAGGUUAAUUGAUGGGGUUAUCCGUAAGGAGAAGCUCUUGAUCGAAGCCCCGGUAAACGGCGGCCGUAACUAUAACGGUCCUAAGGUAGCGAAAUUCCUUGUCGGGUAAGUUCCGACCUGCACGAAUGGCGUAAUGAUGGCCAGGCUGUCUCCACCCGAGACUCAGUGAAAUUGAACUCGCUGUGAAGAUGCAGUGUACCCGCGGCAAGACGGAAAGACCCCGUGAACCUUUACUAUAGCUUGACACUGAACAUUGAGCCUUGAUGUGUAGGAUAGGUGGGAGGCUUUGAAGCGUGGACGCCAGUCUGCGUGGAGCCAACCUUGAAAUACCACCCUUUAAUGUUUGAUGUUCUAACGUUGGCCCCUUACCGGGGUUGCGGACAGUGUCUGGUGGGUAGUUUGACUGGGGCGGUCUCCUCCCAAAGCGUAACGGAGGAGCACGAAGGUUAGCUAAUCCUGGUCGGACAUCAGGAGGUUAGUGCAAUGGCAUAAGCUAGCUUGACUGCGAGCGUGACGGCGCGAGCAGGUGCGAAAGCAGGUCAUAGUGAUCCGGUGGUUCUGAAUGGAAGGGCCAUCGCUCAACGGAUAAAAGGUACUCCGGGGAUAACAGGCUGAUACCGCCCAAGAGUUCAUAUCGACGGCGGUGUUUGGCACCUCGAUGUCGGCUCAUCACAUCCUGGGGCUGAAGUAGGUCCCAAGGGUAUGGCUGUUCGCCAUUUAAAGUGGUACGCGAGCUGGGUUUAGAACGUCGUGAGACAGUUCGGUCCCUAUCUGCCGUGGGCGCUGGAGAAUUGAGGGGGGCUGCUCCUAGUACGAGAGGACCGGAGUGGACGCAUCACUGGUGUUCGGGUUGUCAUGCCAAUGGCACUGCCCGGUAGCUAAAUGCGGAAGAGAUAAGUGCUGAAAGCAUCUAAGCACGAAACUUGCCCCGAGAUGAGUUCUCCCUGAGACUUUAAGUCUCCUGAAGGAACGUUAAAGACGAUGACGUUGAUAGGCCGGGUGUGUAAGCGCAGCGAUGCGUUGAGCUAACCGGUACUAAUGAACCGUGAGGCUUAACCUU